GAACUGAAGAGUUUGAUCAUGGCUCAGAUUGAACGCUGGCGGCAGGCCUAACACAUGCAAGUCGAGCGGAUGAAGGGAGCUUGCUCCUGGAUUCAGCGGCGGACGGGUGAGUAAUGCCUAGGAAUCUGCCUGGUAGUGGGGGAUAACGUCCGGAAACGGGCGCUAAUACCGCAUACGUCCUGAGGGAGAAAGUGGGGGAUCUUCGGACCUCACGCUAUCAGAUGAGCCUAGGUCGGAUUAGC
Molecule: ribosomal RNA, 242 nt
Filed under: Pseudomonas aeruginosa
Lineage: Bacteria; Pseudomonadati; Pseudomonadota; Gammaproteobacteria; Pseudomonadales; Pseudomonadaceae
Description: partial 16S ribosomal RNA
Rfam family: Bacterial small subunit ribosomal RNA
Source: RNAcentral